ACGGCGAGUGAAGCGGCAACAGCUCAAAUUUGAAAUCUGGCGCAAGCCCGAGUUGUAAUUUGCAGAGGAUGCUUCUGGCCAGCGGCCGUUCUAAGUUCCUUGGAACAGGACGUCAUAGAGGGUGAGAAUCCCGUAUGUGACCGGCGCGCAGCCUGCACGUAGCUCCUUCGACGAGUCGAGUUGUUUGGGAAUGCAGCUCUAAAUGGGAGGUAAAUUUCUUCUAAAGCUAAAUACCGGCCAGAGACCGAUAGCGCACAAGUAGAGUGAUCGAAAGAUGAAAAGCACUUUGGAAAGAGAGUUAAAAAGCACGUGAAAUUGUUGAAAGGGAAGCGCUUGCAACCAGACUUUGCGGCGGUGUUCCGCCGGUCUUCUGACCGGUCCACUCACCGUCGCGAGGCCAACAUCGUCUGGGGCCGCUGGAUAAGACCCCAGGAAUGUGGCUUCCCCUCGGGGAAGUGUUAUAGCCUGGGGUGAUGCAGCGCGCCUCGGGCGAGGUCCGCGCUUCGGCAAGGAUGUUGGCGUAAUGGUCGUCAGCGGCCCGUCUUGAAACACGGACCAAGGAGUCUAACAUCUAUGCGAGUGUUCGGGUGUCAAACCCCUACGCGUAAUGAAAGUGAACGGAGGUGGGAGGCGCAAGCUGCACCAUCGACCGAUCCUGAUGUCCUCGGAUGGAUUUGAGUAAGAGCAUAGCUGUUGGGACCCGAAAGAUGGUGAACUAUGCCUGAAUAGGGUGAAGCCAGAGGAAACUCUGGUGGAGGCUCGCAGCGGUUCUGACGUGCAAAU
RNAcentral lists this ribosomal RNA (783 nucleotides) under Camptomeriphila leucaenae. RNAcentral's name for it is "eukaryotic LSU rRNA". It matches the Rfam family "Eukaryotic large subunit ribosomal RNA", at positions 86 to 898 of the family's 3401-position model. The record is from RNAcentral. Lineage: Eukaryota; Fungi; Ascomycota; Dothideomycetes; Mycosphaerellales; Mycosphaerellaceae.